This 501-nucleotide ribosomal RNA is filed under the name uncultured bacterium. RNAcentral's name for it is "partial 16S ribosomal RNA". It matches the Rfam family "Bacterial small subunit ribosomal RNA", at positions 30 to 523 of the family's 1533-position model. The record is from RNAcentral.
AUUGAACGCUGGCGGCAGGCUUAACACAUGCAAGUCGAGCGGGGGAAGGUAGCUUGCUACCGGACCUAGCGGCGGACGGGUGAGUAAUGCUUAGGAAUCUGCCUAUUAGUGGGGGACAACAUCUCGAAAGGGAUGCUAAUACCGCAUACGUCCUACGGGAGAAAGCAGGGGAUCUUCGGACCUUGCGCUAAUAGAUGAGCCUAAGUCGGAUUAGCUAGUUGGUGGGGUAAAGGCCUACCAAGGCGACGAUCUGUAGCGGGUCUGAGAGGAUGAUCCGCCACACUGGGACUGAGACACGGCCCAGACUCCUACGGGAGGCAGCAGUGGGGAAUAUUGGACAAUGGGGGGAACCCUGAUCUAGCCAUGCCGCGUGUGUGAAGAAGGCCUUAUGGUUGUAAAGCACUUUAAGCGAGGAGGAGGCUACUCUAGUUAAUACCUAGGGAUAGUGGACGUUACUCGCAGAAUAAGCACCAGCUAACUCUGUGCCAGCCGCCGCAGUAA